UGGAGUGUAGCUCAGUGGUAGAGCAUGUGUUUAGCACUCAUAAGGAUCUGAGUUCAGUCCUCAGCACUGGAA
This 72-nucleotide transfer RNA is filed under the name Heterocephalus glaber (naked mole-rat). It matches the Rfam family "tRNA". From Rfam's summary of the family: Transfer RNA (tRNA) molecules are approximately 80 nucleotides in length. Their secondary structure includes four short double-helical elements and three loops (D, anti-codon, and T loops). The record is from Rfam by way of RNAcentral. Lineage: Eukaryota; Metazoa; Chordata; Mammalia; Rodentia; Bathyergidae.